RNAcentral lists this ribosomal RNA (1601 nucleotides) under Salmonella enterica subsp. enterica. RNAcentral's name for it is "partial 23S ribosomal RNA". It matches the Rfam family "Bacterial large subunit ribosomal RNA", at positions 373 to 1874 of the family's 2925-position model. The record is from RNAcentral. RNAcentral also lists the same sequence under 1 other name. Lineage: Bacteria; Pseudomonadati; Pseudomonadota; Gammaproteobacteria; Enterobacterales; Enterobacteriaceae.
CCGUACACAAAAGCGCAUGUGCUGUGAGCUCGAUGAGUAGGGCGGGACACGUGGUAUCCUGUCUGAAUAUGGGGGGACCAUCCUCCAAGGCUAAAUACUCCUGACUGACCGAUAGUGAACCAGUACCGUGAGGGAAAGGCGAAAAGAACCCCGGCGAGGGGAGUGAAAAAGAACCUGAAACCGUGUACGUACAAGCAGUGGGAGCACAGGUUUACCUGUGUGACUGCGUACCUUUUGUAUAAUGGGUCAGCGACUUAUAUUCUGUAGCAAGGUUAACCGUAUAGGGGAGCCGGAGGGAAACCGAGUCUUAAUUGGGCGUUAAGUUGCAGGGUAUAGACCCGAAACCCGGUGAUCUAGCCAUGGGCAGGUUGAAGGUUGGGUAACACUAACUGGAGGACCGAACCGACUAAUGUUGAAAAAUUAGCGGAUGACCUGUGGCUGGGGGUGAAAGGCCAAUCAAACCGGGAGAUAGCUGGUUCUCCCCGAAAGCUAUUUAGGUAGCGCCUCGUGAAUUCAUCUCCGGGGGUAGAGCACUGUUUCGGCUAGGGGGCCAUCCCGGCUUACCAACCCGAUGCAAACUGCGAAUACCGGAGAAUGUUAUCACGGGAGACACACGGCGGGUGCUAACGUCCGUCGUGAAGAGGGAAACAACCCAGACCGCCAGCUAAGGUCCCAAAGUCAUGGUUAAGUGGGAAACGAUGUGGGAAGGCCCAGACAGCCAGGAUGUUGGCUUAGAAGCAGCCAUCAUUUAAAGAAAGCGUAAUAGCUCACUGGUCGAGUCGGCCUGCGCGGAAGAUGUAACGGGGCUAAACCAUGCACCGAAGCUGCGGCAGCGAACGUAUCACCCAAGACAACUUUACGGAGUUGACGAUUGACGGAGCGAAGCGACGUCAAAGCGUUCAUUAAAGUCGAGUUGGCUUAGGGAUACGUUCGUUGGGUAGGGGAGCGUUCUGUAAGCCUGUGAAGGUGUGUCGUGAGGCAUGCUGGAGGUAUCAGAAGUGCGAAUGCUGACAUAAGUAACGAUAAAGCGGGUGAAAAGCCCGCUCGCCGGAAGACCAAGGGUUCCUGUCCAACGUUAAUCGGGGCAGGGUGAGUCGACCCCUAAGGCGAGGCCGAAAGGCGUAGUCGAUGGGAAACGGGUUAAUAUUCCCGUACUUGGUGUUACUGCGAAGGGGGGACGGAGAAGGCUAUGUUGGCCGGGCGACGGUUGUCCCGGUUUAAGCGUGUAGGUGUGUGUUCCAGGUAAAUCCGGUUCACUUUAACACUGAGGCGUGACGACGAGGCACUACGGUGCUGAAGCAACAAAUGCCCUGCUUCCAGGAAAAGCCUCUAAGCAUCAGGUAACAUCAAAUCGUACCCCAAACCGACACAGGUGGUCAGGUAGAGAAUACCAAGGCGCUUGAGAGAACUCGGGUGAAGGAACUAGGCAAAAUGGUGCCGUAACUUCGGGAGAAGGCACGCUGACACGUAGGUGAAGUGAUUUACUCAUGGAGCUGAAGUCAGUCGAAGAUACCAGCUGGCUGCAACUGUUUAUUAAAAACACAGCACUGUGCAAACACGAAAGUGGACGUAUACGGUGUGACGCCUGCCCGGUGCCGGAA